RNAcentral lists this long non-coding RNA (247 nucleotides) under Lathyrus oleraceus (garden pea). Its description in RNAcentral is "Pisum sativum (pea) long non-coding RNA (PSAT_LNC000659)". Lineage: Eukaryota; Viridiplantae; Streptophyta; Magnoliopsida; Fabales; Fabaceae. The record is from RNAcentral.
GAGUGGAGACGUGUGGUAGGUAGGUAUAGGGAUUUGCAGUGAUUGUGAGGGAAGAGAGAAGGGAGUUCGCGUGAAGGGUGAGUAAUAGGUGAGGAUUAUUUAUUUCUUUUCAUUUUCUUUUUGUCUUUUAGUGAGAGAUUCGUUGGUACCAGCUGGCAGUUUUAGAAGGGAUCCAAUGUGCUAACUGUCAAUAAUUCCUUGGACCAACCUAUUUUAUUAUUAUUUCUAUUACUAUGUUUAAAUAAAA